CCCAUUUAUUUCAACUAUAAUUACGUAGCCGUCCGAUCCAACUCCAACUUCUCAAGAUAUUAUUCUACGAUGGCUGCUAGGACAGACAGGCCGAAGAUAGUCAGGAAGUAUCCAUUUUAUGCUCCCACAGUUGCUGUUCUCGGCGACUCCCAGACUAAGCACCUGUACCACCACUUUGAUUUCAGGUCCCGCUCGACACCAACGAUGUUCGUGUCCCGCAGCGGAGGACGUAUCCUGGACUUCAUCGAGGAGGUGGACCUACUACCGGCCAGCGUUCGCGUCGUUGUCCUACACUGUGGGACUAACGACAUGCCGUUCGUUGAGCCCAAGUUGGCCAUCUCGCACUACCAGACACUUCUCGAAAGGAUCCGUGCCCGUGGAGGCAUUGAAAUGGCGGCGUAGGGAGUUUCAGUGUAACCCACGGGCACACGCCUUCAACCGCCAGCUGGUCCAGCUAUGCAGGAGGUCCCGGGACCUUUUCUACCUCGACCAUGGCUUCUACCGACGACGUCCAACCCAGGUGCUUGCGGCGGAUGGCCUUCACCCAAACUUCGAAGGAGUGCGGAUGAUGAGCCGCCACCUCCAGGACCUGAUCCCACACCUGCUUCGACAACUUCCACCACGCAGAGCUGACGCCCCGGUCAUCCCGGAUCCAGUGUGGCCCACCCCACAAGAGGCAGCCAUGCUGCGACGAAGACACUCCGAACGGACAUCGAGGGCACGUAAACAGGACUGACUAACCGCCGGCAGAUCAAAAUCCCCACUGACCCACAAGGACGAUGACCCCACUCCUGGACCUGACACAAAAACGCUCUGGAAUUUCCCCAAUUGACAACCGCCAGGUGGCGGGAAUUUCCCCCAACCGACCACGUCAUUCUCAAGCCCCUUAUCAGCCUCGUGGCCACAUUUAGCUCUUUUGUCCCGAAGAAGGCGGAGCUUCCGCCGUAACGUAGACAUCCUCCCUAACUUUUAUGAUUUUUAAGUUUUAAUAAACCCUUUUUUUGUUACUUCCCCUA
Long non-coding RNA from Ornithodoros turicata, 1016 nucleotides. RefSeq lists it as uncharacterized. The record is from RefSeq and is a predicted model, not a curated record. Lineage: Eukaryota; Metazoa; Arthropoda; Arachnida; Ixodida; Argasidae. The transcript is spliced from 3 exons.